Molecule: non-coding RNA, 18 nt
Filed under: Xenopus tropicalis (tropical clawed frog)
Lineage: Eukaryota; Metazoa; Chordata; Amphibia; Anura; Pipidae
Also listed under: 4 other names
Source: RNAcentral
GGUUGGAUCACCUCCUUA